This 71-nucleotide transfer RNA is filed under the name Capra hircus (goat). It matches the Rfam family "tRNA". From Rfam's summary of the family: Transfer RNA (tRNA) molecules are approximately 80 nucleotides in length. Their secondary structure includes four short double-helical elements and three loops (D, anti-codon, and T loops). Further hydrogen bonds mediate the characteristic L-shaped molecular structure. tRNAs have two regions of fundamental functional importance: the anti-codon, which is responsible for specific mRNA codon recognition, and the 3' end, to which the tRNAs corresponding amino acid is attached (by aminoacyl-tRNA synthetases). tRNAs cope with the degeneracy of the genetic code in two manners: having more than one tRNA (with a specific anti-codon) for a particular amino acid; and 'wobble' base-pairing, i.e. permitting non-standard base-pairing at the 3rd anti-codon position. RNAcentral also lists the same sequence under 1 other name. Lineage: Eukaryota; Metazoa; Chordata; Mammalia; Artiodactyla; Bovidae. The record is from Rfam by way of RNAcentral.
UCCCAGGUGGCUCAGUGGUAAAGAAUCAGCCUUCCAAGCAGGAGAUGCAGGUUUGAUCCCUGGGUUGGGAA